Molecule: unclassified non-coding RNA, 269 nt
Organism: Chelonoidis abingdonii (Abingdon island giant tortoise)
Lineage: Eukaryota; Metazoa; Chordata; Testudines; Testudinidae
Rfam family: Metazoan signal recognition particle RNA
About the family: The signal recognition particle (SRP) is a universally conserved ribonucleoprotein.
Source: Ensembl
GCUGGGCCCUGUGGCUGGUGCCUGUGAUCCCAGUUCCUGGGUAGGCUGAGGCUGGCGGAUCGCUUGAGCUCAGGAGUUGUAGGCUGUGCCGAUCGGGUGUCUGCAUUAAGUUCAGCAUGAAUAUGGUGAUCCCUGGGAAGCUUGGGGUCCCCAGGUUGCCUAAGGAGGGGUGAACCAGGUCAGAAAUGGAGCGGGUCAAAACUCCUGUGCUGAUCAGUAGUGGAGUCGUGCCUGUGAAUAGCCUGGGCAGACAGUGAGACACAGUCUCU